AGGGAGAUGAGAGAAUGAAUAGAGAAGAAACAUGAGAGAGAGAGGGAUGGGUUCUCUCAUUCUUUUCUUUUUUUAAUCUUUCUUAGCGAAACAAGGAAGGAAGAAGAGUAGACCGGUGAAUAUGAUCAUGGUGGUCCGUCAAAGUGGCAACAGUUGAUGGUGGCGGCAAUGGAGAUCAACCGGCGAUGACGGCCGACAGGUUGAAUUCAGCCCAAAAAUAAGGCGAACAAAGAGAGGUUCUUGGCUCGGUCAUCCUCGGAUCCGAGCAUACUCAUUGGUGACAGGGGUUCCGCUCCAAGCAGGGGCUGCUGCAAGGGUGGGGCAGGCGCCCUCAGCGACGAACGCUGACUGUGGUGGUGGUUCGAAAAACAACAAAAGAAAAAAAUAGGAAAAUGAAUAAACUCAAAGUUCUACUUUAAUUAAAUAAUAUUUAAUUAAGUAAUAAAUUAAAUAAUAAAAUAAUAAUAAUUUAUUAUGACAUGUUGUUUUUUUUCUAUUCAUUAUCUUUGAGGAUCGGUCGUGGUCUUAGGGUUCUCUUCUUAAUGGAUUUCUGACAAAAUCGAGGUCGACGGUAGGUAGUUUAGGGCCGUGGAGGGGAAAGAAAACAAAGAGGAGGAAGACUAGGGCUUUAUCUCAACUUCAGUGGCAUUUUCAGCUCCGAGUUUCAGUGAACGCAAAGACAGACAAUCGAGAAUUCAAAGGGAGAAAAGAGAGAAAAGGGGGCUCGAUGAUCAUCAUUGGAGGAACAUAGAAGGAGGGGAUUGUUUAUAUAGAGAAUCCUAGGGCUCUGGCUUUGUCUCGAAGUCAACGGAGAAGAGCGGGGAGUCUUCC
RNAcentral lists this long non-coding RNA (831 nucleotides) under Phoenix dactylifera (date palm). RNAcentral describes it as "long non-coding RNA (PDAC_LNC003917)". The record is from RNAcentral. Lineage: Eukaryota; Viridiplantae; Streptophyta; Magnoliopsida; Arecales; Arecaceae.